This 28-nucleotide non-coding RNA is filed under the name Mus musculus (house mouse). Lineage: Eukaryota; Metazoa; Chordata; Mammalia; Rodentia; Muridae. The record is from RNAcentral.
UGGAAUCGUGGCCUCUCUCUUAAUCGUC